Molecule: ribosomal RNA, 253 nt
Filed under: uncultured bacterium
Lineage: Bacteria
Description: partial 16S ribosomal RNA
Rfam family: Bacterial small subunit ribosomal RNA
Source: RNAcentral
UACGUAGGGUGCAAGCGUUGUCCGGAAUUAUUGGGCGUAAAGAGCUCGUAGGCGGUUUGUCGCGUCUGCUGUGAAAACUCGGGGCUUAACUCCGGGCCUGCAGUGGGUACGGGCAGACUUGAGUACUGCAGGGGAGACUGGAAUUCCUGGUGUAGCGGUGAAAUGCGCAGAUAUCAGGAGGAACACCGGUGGCGAAGGCGGCUUGCUGGGCCAGUUCUGACGCUGAGGAGCGAAAGCGUGGGGAGCGAACAGG